GACGAAUGCAGGCCGAAAUGCUGGUUCAGGAGUUGGAAAUACACAGUGGAGAGAAUGCUGACUGGUUGCAUCACGGCCUGGUAUGGGAACACCAAUCUCCUUGAAUGUAGAAGCCUAAAGAAAGCCUAGUGGAUACUGCCCAGUCCGUCACAGUUUUUCAGUGAUUCCAUUGAAUUUCUUUGUAUCGACUGUGAAUGCCUGCAAGAAUGAAUCUGAGGGUAAUAUCUGGUGACAGAAAUGUACUUUGAUGAUAAAUUUUCUUUGAACUUUGAGACAACAACCCGGAACCAAGACAUUGUCCUGCUCCUGUCAGACUGGUAAUGACACGAUGUAAACGGCAGAGGGCGGCAUUGCCACACGGAGAAACUCAGAACGACAGAGGCUUCCGAGCUGAAAUCUUCCCUGCAGCCGCAGUAAAAGAUUGUGUUUUCCUCUCUCAGUCACCUCGAUCAGCUCUGGGAUGCCAGACCGUCAAACUAGCCCAGAAGUCAGAACAAGCGAAUG
Molecule: long non-coding RNA, 504 nt
Organism: Hypanus sabinus (Atlantic stingray)
Lineage: Eukaryota; Metazoa; Chordata; Chondrichthyes; Myliobatiformes; Dasyatidae
Exons: 3
Source: RefSeq, a predicted model, not a curated record